GUACCAUACAUAUUUGGUCCGUUGAAGCCCUCGUACGUUUGAACCUCAAGAUAUAUUUCAGAAUUACUGUGAUUUACCAAAAAGCCUACUUAUUAAAAAUUAAGUAGAAGAUCCACGAUCUGCACCGAUACACAGAGGAAGUUAUUUCAACAACUUACAACAAAAAGUGAGUAAGAACAAAAUUAUACUUAAGUAAAUACUUAUUUAAACUAUAAAAAAAUGGUUAGUGAACUAAUAAAAUUACGAAAUAUUUACAGGUCAAAAAGGGAAUCGCUCUCUUGCUGCGAUUCAUGAGUGAAAAUUCAAGAAAGUACUAUUAAAGUCAACGAUCUCUCUCGAGAUACGAGGUGACUACCAUUCUUUAUCGACUUGAAGCUAGCCAGAUGACGAGUUGAUGUAGACCCUUAAAUGAUUAUACUCGGGUUGAACUUAUAAUCAUCUUUAAGGACUCUCCACAUCGACGCUACUCGCGCAGUCGAAGAGCUCCUGAUUUCCUGCUUCAAAUAAUUGUAUGUAACUACUUUUAAUUUAUCUCUCUCUCUCUGUCUGAUUAAGAGAAAGCCUGUGCCCAGCAGUUUAUGUUAAGUUAUAAUAUUAAUUAGUAUUUAGAUCGCCUUAUAGUCUAUAGGUUUUACUCAAUUCGUCUCAUAAUUAAAACAAUAUCACAAAAGUGUCUUUAUAGAUUUUGGUAGGAAGGUUCUUUUUUUUGAACCAUUUUCGGUUUUAUUUAAAAUGGGUUACUGCUCUGUGUGUAAUGUUAAUGUUAAUGGAAGACAGUGGACUGGACAUUUCCGUAGCAGUAAGCACAAAAAUAAUUGUACUGCUCCGCUUUAUGAUAACGUAGAGAUCAUAACAUCCGCUUUUAAAGGACGUAUAGUAAGUUAUCGAAUUAUUGCAUCUAAUGAAGAAGCAAAAAACUUACCUUCUUUAUUUUUAAACAACAUUCGUAAACAAAUUAGAUCUCUUGUAAAUCACGCCUUACAAGUCCACACUUCUGUUAAAAUUAACUUCGAAUUUUUUUUAUCUUUUCUUUUGCCUAAAACUGACGUACAAGAAGUAAAGUCGUUUGCUACAAAGAACUUUACAAUUCACUUAAAUUUUGACUUUGAUAAUCUUUAUAACGAAGUUGUUUCUUUUCUGUUGAAUAAAGUAGGGGAAUUUGAAGAAAGAGACAGUGGUUGGACAUUUUUAAGCAAUUCACACCUUGAAAUAAAUAUAAAUAAAUAUCAGCCUUUAAGCGGUUCCAGCUUUAUCUCAUUGCCUAAAUAUAUAAGAAACAAAAAAG
Long non-coding RNA from Pectinophora gossypiella (pink bollworm), 1285 nucleotides. RefSeq lists it as uncharacterized. The transcript is spliced from 4 exons. The record is from RefSeq and is a predicted model, not a curated record. NCBI's taxonomy places the organism in Eukaryota, Metazoa, Arthropoda, Insecta, Lepidoptera, Gelechiidae.